RNAcentral lists this ribosomal RNA (232 nucleotides) under uncultured bacterium. RNAcentral describes it as "partial 16S ribosomal RNA". It matches the Rfam family "Bacterial small subunit ribosomal RNA", at positions 99 to 334 of the family's 1533-position model. The record is from RNAcentral.
CGAACGGGUGAGUAAUAUAUCGGAACGUAUCCAAUAAUGGGGGAUAACUAAUCGAAAGGUUGGCUAAUACCGCAUACGCCCUACGGGGGAAAGCUGGGGAUCUUCGGACCUGGCGUUAAUGGAGCGGCCGAUAUCUGAUUAGCUAGUUGGUGAGGUAAAAGCUCACCAAGGCGACGAUCAGUAGCUGGUCUGAGAGGACGACCAGCCACACUGGAACUGAGACACGGUCCAG